UUUAUGUUAUUUUUAAGAAGUUUUAGCUGAAACAUUUAUUAUUUUACACAAACUUAAAUUACUAAAAGAAUAUAUCAGAAAUUUUUAAUAAAUAAUAGCAAUAUAUUUAUUAACAAAACAGGUAACCUUUACAUAAAAAAAUUAAAAUAUUAAUUUUAUUUUAUGGAAAAGUUUUAGAAAUGUUCUUAGUAGAUAUUAUUUUUGUAUUAUAUAUUAUUAAACAAAUGUUUUUUACUAAAUCUGAUUUGCUUGUAUUAGUUAUUGUUUUAUUUAUUUAUCAUGUAUUAAUAAAUAAAUAUAGCAAAACAUUAAUUAAAAAAAAAUUGAAAACUGUCGUGAGUUUUUGAAAAAAACCACAAAAACUUGGAUUUUGGUUUUUCUUUGGAAAAAACAGUUAUUUGAAAAAACUAGUUUCCCUAGAUUAUAGGGAAUCUAUUUAUCUAAAAACUUGAUUGUCUAAAAAAUGGUUUUUAGAAAAACUAAAAUCAAAAACCAAUUCAAAAACCACAAACAAUCAACCUCAUACUCCGGUUACCACGAUACAUUUAACCAGAACAAUUGAAAACGUGUUAAUUUAGUUGGGAAAAGAAGAAAGAAAUUCCGAACCUUUACAGAAGAGAGAGAUAGAAACUAACAAUAUUAUGUACUUGUGUUUACCUAAUAUUGAAACAUGCAUAUACGUUUGUCAUUUGUUCUUAUCUUCUGAUGCUAUGUAAAUUUAAUAUUCUAUAAAAGUUUGAAUCCUAUUCACACAUACAUCACAACAGAUGCCAGUAUGAAGGACGAUAAUGUUUUGUAAGAAAGUUAACACUUGGCUUGAAAUUCCUGGAAUCCAACAUAUGUCGUAAUAAUGGAGCAAAAUGUAAAUCCGUUAUUUCAAUAGCAUUUAGGAGGGUGUAUUGCACAAAAAGUUUUAGAGGAUUUUAGUUUUUUUACCCAAAUUCAUUGUUAUUCAAUUUUUGAAGAUUCUGGUGGUGGCGAAGCUUUGUUUCGGAGGUUACAAUGAAAGUUUAGAACAAUUUGACAUUUUAAUGAAUAAUUUUGUUCUUCUCAAAUAGUAAGAGGAAAAAGAAUAAAACAACAGAUAGAAUCCAAAAAUAAAAGAAAAAAAAAUCACGUCAGAGAAACAAUAAUAGAGAAACUAUGGAAACGUAAAGAAGAAGGAAUCAUAGUCUCUGGUUCCGAUAUCAACAAAACCCUAGAACAAUACGAACAAACCCUCAAGUUACAUUACCAUCAUCACCAUUCACCACCAAAGCCAUUACCACCAUCGAAAGAUUCAUGAAUCCAACUCGCCUGUUCGCCGAUGAUGAUAUCUUCUGUGCUCUGAAACAACAACAAAACAAAGCACGAGAUUGAUGAACUUGAAUUGUCUAAACUAUUGAAUGAAUUGGAAAAGUUUAGAAAAGCUAGUCGAUACUGACUAGAAGAUAUCAAAUGAUCAAUAACUUUUCUGUGGGAGGAAACGGCCAAUUUCACCACUCUUCCAUGUUCUCAUAUGCGAACGUUUGAAUCAAGCCUAAAACAACAUGAACUGGCUCUUCUACAGGGCCGUCUAAUAGCAUGUGCUAGUGGAACGGUCGAACAGGGCGCAAACUUAAAAAUAAAAAAAAUACUUAAGAAAAUUUCUAAAAUAAAUAUAUAAAUUUGGUUUAAAAUUUUAACUUUUUAAUGUAUUCUUAAAUUUAUUAUCUAUAAUUAAAAGAGAAACGUCAAAUAUAUAUAGAUAAAAUUAUUAACAUUUAAAAUUAUUUUAUUACAUUGUUAAAUAUAUAGUUAAUUUUUUUUUGAACAGGGCCUUAGUAUAAUUUGAGACGGCCCUGCUCGUCUAUCAACAAUAAAAGACUCUUUUUGACCUAUACAUGACAACAUCAGAUAAAUCAUGAAACAUAACGAACCAAAGUCUUGUACGAACGAGAAUCAUACAGAAACGUAUACAAAUUAAAUUUAGCAACUAGCAACUCUGUAAAGAAACACUAUUUAAACUUUAUAGGAUUUUUAACAUUAAAACCUCUCAACUAAGUUUGUUUCGAGUAAAAACUCUUCAAACUAAGUAUUUAGUGAAAUAACCCCCAAACUAAUUUUAUUUAAUUAAUUAAACCCUCUGUCUACAGUGUGGGUCAUAAUUACCACUACUACCGGUAAAUUUUUAGUUUAGAUCUUUAGUUUAGGAGUUUUUACAUCAAAUAAACAUAGUUAAGGUUUUACCAUUGAAAAAUCAAAAAUAUAAUAACAUUAACUAAAAAUUAGUAACUUAAAAUUUUUCAGAAUUAUCAUUCUUUAAAUUAAUGCAAAUAGAUGAGUUUGAUUUCUUUUAAAAUCAACAUUAUCUAUGUAUAAAUUGAAAAUGUAAAAUACCAGAAAAUAUAAUAAAAAAUUAUCUAAAGAUUUACUUGUAGAAGUAGUAGUAAUUCUUUUGACAGGCACUAGAUAUAAACUAAUUAUCUAAAAAUCAAGUAACUAACAUUUUCAAAACUAGCACAUCAAAUAAAUUAUGCUGCAUCAAUGAGAUAUAUUUAUUUUAAAAUCCAUAUUAUAUGUGGGAGCUAAAACUCACAAUUAUAUUUAAUGUGAAUGGAGUAAGGUUUAGUCAGACUAGGCUAUAUUCACAUUAAAUUGUUAGUUGCGGGUUUUAGCUCCCACGUAUAAUUUGAAUUUUAAAAUAAAUCUAUCACAUCAAUGCAGCAUAAUUGAUCUGAAGUGCUAAUUUUGAAAAUGUUUGUCACUAAUUUUUAAAUAAUUAUUUUAUCUCUAUUGUCGGUCAAAAGAACCACUAAUACCGACAAAAAUUUAUAUACUUUUUAUUUUAUUUUGUGGUUUUUUAAUUUUAAUUUAUACAUAAAUGUUGAUUUCAAAAUAAAUCAAACUCAUCUAUUUGCAUAAACUUUCAAAAUGCUAAUUUUAAAAUUUUAAGUUACUAAUUUUUAGAUAAUGUUUUUAUAUUUUCACAUAUUUUAGAAUAUUUUAGAUCUUUAAUGGAAAAUCCCUUGACUAUCUUUAUUUAAUGUAAAAAUCUCUAAACUAAAGAUUUAUCGGUAGUAGUGAUAGUUAUGACCGGCACUUUAGACAGAGGAUUUAAUUCAUUAAAUAAAGUUAGUUUGGGGGAUAUUUCACUAAAUACUUAGUUUGGGAGUAUUUACUCAAAAAAUGUAUUUGAGGGUUUUAACGUUAUAAAUCUAUUUUCAAAACAUAACAACAUUAAUAUUCACCAAAUAAAAUAGUUAUAUUAGAUUAAUUAUUUGAUUUAAUUAUUCGUGUAAUAGAUAAUUAUUCUAAGUAUUCAAUAAUAUUUUAGCAUGUUUUGGAUACAUAUAAAAGAUUUAGAUCGGGUUUGGUACAAGUUAUUUUUUGAGAUUUUAAAUUUUCAAAUUUUUGGAUAUCCAUUUGGGUUUGGGUAAAACCCAUAACCCGAAAUACCGUAAAAAUUAAUUUGGUAUUAUGCCAGGUUCGGAUCAAUUCGAAUUCAUUUUUACCGGGUUGGGUCUGGAUCGAAUUUUUGGAUUCAGUUUAUUUGUGCAGCCCUAAGUGAUAUACAUUCUAAUAGUUAUAAAUCAAAUUUAUAUUUAAAUAAAAAAAAGAAAAAAAAAACUAUUAAGAAGACAAAAAUGAAUAGUUGGUCCGGUUCCUUUGCAAACGAAGUUCAGAAUCAACAAGGGUUCGUAGAACGAAGGGAGUGUACAAAUGAUUUUUCAAACCACUUUCUUGUUCGUAACGAGGGAAAAAUAAAAUUGAGUUCUUCACGAAGUUAGAAAAAAAAAAGACUUUCCGUAUGGCCUCCUUGUUUUAAGACAUUAUGGCUUUGCCAAACAAAGCAAUGCCAAGAGAAUAACUGACUAAGCUGUGCGAUGAGGGUCAUUCUAACCGUGCAUCUUUGCUUAGCAUGGUUCGACAAAAGAAAUAGGUGGAAAAUGGACCGAGAAAAUAAUGCUUUGUGAAUUCAAUUACUUUGACAAAAAUAUAUGAAAAAUCAGUGCUAUCGAGGAACAUUUUAUAGAAAGAAAAGAAAAAGAGCAAAUCACAAUAUUUUGAUUAACUAAAUUUUGUUAAAAUAUAAAAUCACCAAAAACCUACACAUACACGUCUUUGAUUACUUACAAUAAAUAGCCUUGAAUUUCCAUUUCAUAAAAAAAUGUAAUUAUUUAAAAAUUAAAAUUUAAUAAUUUCGGAAUAAGAUUUAGCAGUAUUAAAAGAAAUUUAUUACAUAAAGAAGAAGGCAUCUCUCUUUUCCUUGCACCACGUCACUAAUUCUUCUCUUUUCAGCAUGACACGUGUAUUCUUCUUUUAUUCUUGCUUUUCGUUUGUCUUCUGUUUGGGUCUUACGGAUUUGAUUUCUUUGGGCUAACCCCAUUUGUUCAAGUUGGCUGAUAGAAAUAAUAAUGAUAGGAGCCCAAUAUUGACAGUCUUCGUCUUCGAGAACUACGACCAUCCACUUUUAGGGUUCAUUAUGUUUUCGAACCUCAAAUUGUUGAAACCAAUAUGGAGUUUCGGGAGUGUUAUGCAAGACAAAACUAAAACCAAGUAAGCAAUUUUCAAACUAAAAUCAAGUUUCUUAUAUUGGAUCGGAGUACCAAAAUCUCAGACCUUGAUUUUUCGAACGGACAACAUCAAAAGGGUGCAUCGCAAACUGUGGCUACCGCAGGCCGCAGCUGUGGUUUCCCACUGCCAAAGCUCCGCCAUCAGCUAAUAGUUAGAUGCAAUCAAAUUGAACGCAAUUUGGUUACAGAGUUAAUCAGAGACACAACUGACCCGUAAAACAAGCGAAAGGAAAGCUGAUAAAAGUUUCUGUCAUCCUCCGGUGUAUUGCGGCUACGUUACAAAUAUUUUACUGGCUUAACCGGAGCUAUUCUGACGAACCCUAUUCCAAAUCCACCCUCCAUGGUGUAAGACUUGAGAAGGUGCGAGUGAGGGGAUGUUGCGUCACGGCGGUAGUUAUCGAAGUGUAAUGAGAGUUGUUGCAGGCAGCCAAAGAUUGAAGGACAGGCAUUGAGACGGUAAUUGACGAAUCAGAGCGUCUGAAGCUUUGAUCCAUCAUUGAGAAAAAUCUUAUGUCUUUAGAGAGUUUCAUGGGAACAUAUUUAAGAUGAUAAAGGCAAGCAAGAUGAUGAACAGUCAAGGCAAGCCAAACCUAGCCAAAUGCUACGGGAUAUUUCCUUUUUCGGUUGCAAUUUUAAGUUCUUAGAUGGACUGUGACCAAUUCUCAACUUAUGAUUUGUGGUCACAGCUAGAGAAGCAAUAUGAGCUCAUAAGUGAUGUAUUUUCAGCUUUGUGAAAAUUAUCUGAAUACGUAAGCAAUUUAUUGGAGAUUGAUGCAUUUUUGGCCCAUCAUAAGACACACUUAAGGAAGUCACAGAGUCAUGGAGGCAGUCAUCUGUAUACUUGUGGGAUGCUAUACCGUUACUGCAAACCUAUGGGAGAAGGGCUCCAUCAGGAGGACAGGUUGUUGAGAAAGACCCUACAGAAGCCGCAAAAGAGGAUUAUGAAAUAACAGAGAAUAUCACGGACAUUGACUGUGACACCCCCGAUCAUAGAUGACCGGAAAUGACACGGUCGAUGUUCCUCGAUGGUCGAUCUGAGAUUCUCAGAAUACUUCCGAUCGCCUUAGACCAACAA
Brassica napus (rape) is the source of this 5610-nucleotide long non-coding RNA. RefSeq lists it as uncharacterized. NCBI's taxonomy places the organism in Eukaryota, Viridiplantae, Streptophyta, Magnoliopsida, Brassicales, Brassicaceae. The transcript has 3 exons. The record is from RefSeq and is a predicted model, not a curated record.